This 442-nucleotide ribosomal RNA is filed under the name uncultured bacterium. RNAcentral describes it as "partial 16S ribosomal RNA". It matches the Rfam family "Bacterial small subunit ribosomal RNA", at positions 338 to 795 of the family's 1533-position model. The record is from RNAcentral.
CCUACGGGAGGCAGCAGUGGGGAAUAUUGGGCAAUGGGCGCAAGCCUGACCCAGCAACGCCGCGUGAAGGAAGAAGGCUUUCGGGUUGUAAACUUCUUUUAAGGGGGAAGAGCAGAAGACGGUACCCCUUGAAUAAGCCACGGCUAACUACGUGCCAGCAGCCGCGGUAAUACGUAGGUGGCAAGCGUUGUCCGGAUUUACUGGGUGUAAAGGGCGUGCAGCCGGAGGGACAAGUCAGAUGUGAAAUCCACGGGCUCAACCCGUGAACUGCAUUUGAAACUGUUUCCCUUGAGUGUCGGAGAGGUAAUCGGAAUUCCUUGUGUAGCGGUGAAAUGCGUAGAUAUAAGGAAGAACACCAGUGGCGAAGGCGGAUUACUGGACGAUAACUGACGGUGAGGCGCGAAAGCGUGGGGAGCAAACAGGAUUAGAUACCCCUGUAGUC